UGGGGAAUAUUGGACAAUGGGCGCAAGCCUGAUCCAGCCAUGCCGCGUGAGUGAUGAAGGCCUUCGGGUUGUAAAGCUCUUUCGACGGGGACGAUGAUGACGGUACCCGUAGAAGAAGCCCCGGCUAACUUCGUGCCAGCAGCCGCGGUAAUACGAAGGGGGCUAGCGUUGUUCGGAAUUACUGGGCGUAAAGCGCACGCAGGCGGUCCUCCAAGUCAGAAGUGAAAGCCCUGGGCUCAACCCGGGAACUGCUUUUGAUACUGGGGAACUGGAAUCACGGAGAGGGUAGGGGAAUUCCGAGUGUAGAGGUGAAAUUCGUAGAUAUUCGGAAGAACACCAGUGGCGAAGGCGCCUACCUGGCCGUCGAUUGACGCUCAUGUGCGAAAGCGUGGGGAGCAAACA
This 402-nucleotide ribosomal RNA is filed under the name uncultured bacterium. RNAcentral's name for it is "bacterial SSU rRNA". It matches the Rfam family "Bacterial small subunit ribosomal RNA", at positions 355 to 774 of the family's 1533-position model. The record is from RNAcentral.